Molecule: non-coding RNA, 1954 nt
Organism: Anas platyrhynchos (mallard)
Lineage: Eukaryota; Metazoa; Chordata; Aves; Anseriformes; Anatidae
Source: RefSeq, a predicted model, not a curated record
CAGAACUUUUAACUGAAACCAUGAUGUUAUGUCGGUACAGGACACUCUAAGGAAAAGGACAGGAUACCAUGCUCUAAAGAUCUUGAAGGCUGUUAGAUAAUCUGGUGCGCUGAACUGGCUUCCUCAUUCUCUGAAGCAGACAACAAAACAAGGCUCUCUCUACAAACGACUCUGUCCCGAGGUGCUUGCAGCACACCCGCAGAGCAGUAGGGUCUUUGGCAGGAGUUAUUAAUGCUAGGUGAGCCUUCACUGAGUACAGUCACAUCCCUCCUACAGGAGCUCAAAACACAGUGAUAUGGCCUGAAGAAUCUCCUGAACCUUCUAAAUCACUGGAUUCAAGUUCCCAGAUCUUGCAAAGGACCAUGAAAGAGUGAAACCAGUCAGUCCAGUCAGCCUUACCAACUAAGGUGUUCCCAACACUCAAACAAUGCAACACGUUGCAGAAUUCAGAAGAGAGCUUCACAGAUGACCCAGUUCUCAGCUUACUUUUCUGAUCAUCUCAUCCAGAUCUCCAUUCAGCAAGCCUGCAACACACUCUUAAAGAUCAAUCCACUCAAAAGCCCCUGUUGUAAGCCUGAAGACCAUGUACUUGCUAACUCCAGCUCUUGGUGACAAUCCUGUCCCUUACUGAAGGGGAUGUGACUAGUCUCAAAAACUUCAGAUGAGAGGAGACAAUCAAAUGUUUGAUUACAUGCAGAGACCUCUCACCGCCUGCACGCCACAAGAUCUUUUUGGCUAACGAUGGUUGCUGGAUUCCCAUGUAUAGCUCUGUGUUCUCAGCACCCACACUAACCGUUAUGGAGCAGAAAACUCCACUUCUUGGCACACCACAUUUGAACUGUUCUGAAGCUCAAGGGUAGGGCAGUGUCUGGUGUGAAGGAUCUUCAUACUUCUUGGUAAAGAAUGCUCCCCACAUCCUGGUUACUCAGCCCUCACUUAAUCAUUUAGGAAGUUACAAAAGUAAAAGGAUGGUUUUUUUUUUAUAAAUAAAAUUUGCAAUGAUAUGAAAUUUGUAACAAUCAAGCAAACAUGGUAAACCUUACUUUCAAGUUUAUUAGCAAUUAAGAUUCACUUUACAAUCCCAUUGCUCCCCAAAUUGCCUUUUGCUAAAUCAGUCAGCCUACUGCUUUGUUUAAAGAUGCACUACAAGAUACUUUAUCCUUCCAUGUAACUAUUUCCCAGCUGCUGUUUAUGGUGACCCCAUUAAAUUGAAAGUUGAACAACUAUUUUCAGCAACAGUCGUAGUAUGUUUCAAUUUUGAACAGCUGGAUAUCUUUUAAGAAAAUAGAAAUUUGUUUGGAAGGGUACAAAAAAAAAAGUCAGAUUGGAAAGAGUAUAAUUUCAUAGACAAUCUGUGCAUUGCUUUAUCCUAGCUCUCUACUAAUAUGCUCCACGUACGUUAAAGACUAUAUUCAUUUGAAAACUCAGAGCAUCCCUUCUUAGCUGUCAUAUUAAAUUCCAUUAUUAUUUCUUCCCAAAAUACAAACACCAAAAUGGCAAUGUUUUCCCCUGCUUUUUCUUUUUUCUUUUUUUUUUAAGAGUAUAAGUAGCAAUGAAUGAAGUGACUGGUUCCAACAACUUUAAUAAUUUCUGUACAUUUCAGAACAUUGAGAAAAGGAGGACCAAAAUAGCAACAAAAGAACACAUGCAAGCUUCAUUGCAUCCUCUCUGUGCAGUUGCUAUGCAGCAAUUGCCUUCCUACAAAGAACUUUGGCUUUUUUGCUUACUAACAUUUCGUCAUUCAAGUAGAUACAGUACGUUCAGAUCCAAAACAAUUUAAAAGAAGUCUUUGCACUGAAAGCUGUCUAAGAUAACUACUAAUUAGAACAUACAUGCCCUCUGACUUGCUUAUUUAGGAACAUUAUUAGCCAUAGGACAGAAUGCACAACUUAAAUAAGCAGCCAAUACUACCACAAAAAAGUGACGAGCAAAAUCCUCUCUUCACCCUCAUGCA